CCCUUAGAUGUUCUGGGCCGCACGCGUGCUACACUGAGUGGAUCAGCGGGUCAGGUUGCGCGAAAGUGUUUCCUAAUCAUUAAAUCCGCUCGUGAUGGGGAUUGACGGUUGCAAUUUUCCGUCAUGAACGAGGAAUACCUUGUAAGCGCGGGUCAUCAUCCCGCGCUGAAUACGUCCCUGCCCUUUGUACACACCGCCCGUCGCUCCUACCGAUUGAGUGGUCCGGUGAGGCUUUGGGAUCUGAGCGGAAAGAGCGUUUCGCUGUUUCUGCCCGGAAAACUCAGUCGAACCUUAUCAUUUAGAGGAAGGAGAAGUCGUAACA
Molecule: ribosomal RNA, 322 nt
Filed under: uncultured eukaryote
Lineage: Eukaryota
Description: partial 18S ribosomal RNA
Rfam family: Eukaryotic small subunit ribosomal RNA
Source: RNAcentral